Oryctolagus cuniculus (rabbit) is the source of this 1695-nucleotide long non-coding RNA. The record is from Ensembl. NCBI's taxonomy places the organism in Eukaryota, Metazoa, Chordata, Mammalia, Lagomorpha, Leporidae.
GUCUUUCUGUGGUUGAGGAUUCAUUUACCUGAAAUUAUCAAUCUACUUCUUUUUAUCACAGGAUCAGGUGUGUCAAGGCUCAGUGGAGUUGAUUCCUCUGUGGGAAGCGGGGCAGGGGAGGAGGGGAUGCAUAUGCUGGUGAACAACAGGUGCCUGGAGAUCCCAGCUGAAGAUGAAGAAGGUGAAGGACGCUCUUCUCCACUCCUCCUCUGCUAGUCCAGGGAAGGCACUCCUGUGAGGGUGACCAAGGGAAAGGUACCCUGAACUAUGCUAUCAGAACUUUGAUCAUGGAAGGUGAUACUUUAUACUUCGGGAGAGAAAAUUCUUGUUACUCCUUUUGCCUUACAUUUGUCCCCUCUGUACUUACUGGUCAUAGUCUUUUUUGGCCAUCUUUCAGUACCGUGCAGGUUCUCUGGAUGUGCGUGAUUCCUUGGAUCUCUGAUUGUAGUGGAAAAUCAGACAAGAGUACCCAGAGAGCAAAGCUUCCUUCAUCCUAUCCCUCUGGGUCCACCAGCUCAUCCAUCCUCAAAUGUCAAAAGCCCUUUCUGUUGGAGGAGAAAGGCUGUGUGCAAAGCAGUGUAUAUUUUUCCUGUCUUGCACUCCCACUGACUAUAUUAUGCUCCUGGGGCUCUUCAAGUGGAGGAGACACGCAGCUAUGCUCACGGAUGGCAGGGCAGCCUAUAAAGCCAAGGUAGUGAGCGGGCAUUUGGGAGAAAAGAGUUUAAAAUUACUGUCAGAUGUGGAAUUGUUACACUCAAGUACAACAUCUCCACUUGGUUGUCAGUUCCAUUCACGGUUCUGUUAUACUUCUCAGAAACCCAUCUUUUAAAAAUCUUAAAAACUGAAAAUUAUGACAGCAGAGUAGACACGCAAGAUAAGGAACCCGGACACAUCUUGAAGUUAAACAAAUAUUUAUAACAGUAUUCACUGUGUGCCAGACACUUGCUAGGUCAUUAUAAGUAAACCAAAAUUGGGAACAACCUGCAGUUUUCAGAAGACAACAGGUAGCAACAACAAGAAAAAAAAUGCCUUAACAACAUGUAUUCAGUUGAUAUUACAGCGCGAGCAUCACCUAUCCUGAAUGACAGGAAACACCAAGUCAUCAGUUGGUGACAAGAGCUGUUCUGUGGCUUCCCAUUUCAGAUUUUCUGGAAGAGGGGCCACAUGUCGUUGUGAAAGGGUUGGUCACGUUGUUUGCUGGCAGCAGCGGGUGCUCCUACGCUAGUGUAGGUUUGUAGAGUCCCUAAAUGUACAGGGACUGUCUCUGACUUCCUUGCUUUUUCUCCUCUAGUCAUUUUGGAGUUGCAGUCCAGGGUGGGAUGAGUUAUUCCCUGCUCCGCAGGUUAUCCAGAGCCUUGUGGUGGAAGAGCUUGGGCCAUGGGCUUAGACUCGGGAACACUGCUUCAGGUCCUGCUGCUGCCACAGUCCACUAAGAGCUAGGAGCUUUUUAAGGUUUUUAUCUGACUUUGCCCCUCAAAGGGUUAGUCCCUUUUAGACUGUGAGUUUAGUUUACAACAUUAGCAACUGUGUCUAAUUCUUUUUUUUUUUUCCUUUCCUAAAAAUCUCUAGUGGUAAAGGAAGAAAGGGUAGAAGACAAAGUUCUCCAUAUGAAGUAAAGAUUCCUCCUUCCUUUUCUUCACCUUGCUUAAUCGAUGAAGAACCAGUUUCCUCUUCCAAAGACAGAGAAUUCACUGC